UGAACGCUAGCGGCAGGCCUAACACAUGCAAGUCGAGGGGUAACAUUGUAGCUUGCUACAGAUGACGACCGGCGCACGGGUGCGUAACGCGUAUACAAUCUACCUUUUGCUGGGGGAUAGCCUUUGGAAACGAAGAUUAAUACCCCAUAGUAUGUAAAACUCUCCUGAGUUUAACAUUAAAGGUUACGGCAAAAGAUGAGUAUGCGUCCUAUUAGCUAGAUGGUAAGGUAACGGCUUACCAUGGCAACGAUAGGUAGGGGCCCUGAGAGGGGGAUCCCCCACACUGGUACUGAGACACGGACCAGACUCCUACGGGAGGCAGCAGUGAGGAAUAUUGGACAAUGGGCGAGAGCCUGAUCCAGCCAUGCCGCGUGCAGGAAGACUGCCCUAUGGGUUGUAAACUGCUUUUAUACAGGAAGAACCACCUCUACGUGUAGAGGCUUGACGGUACUGUAAGAAUAAGGAUCGGCUAACUCC
This 477-nucleotide ribosomal RNA is filed under the name uncultured bacterium. Its description in RNAcentral is "bacterial SSU rRNA". It matches the Rfam family "Bacterial small subunit ribosomal RNA", at positions 30 to 504 of the family's 1533-position model. The record is from RNAcentral.